RNAcentral lists this long non-coding RNA (451 nucleotides) under Dromaius novaehollandiae (emu). RNAcentral's name for it is "lncRNA (ENSDNVG00000013103.1)". Lineage: Eukaryota; Metazoa; Chordata; Aves; Casuariiformes; Dromaiidae. The record is from RNAcentral.
GUUUUAAUAAUUUCCUUUGACAUUGCAUAUGUAUAUUCUUCUCUCCACAGAAGCCAUCUUAGAAAGACCUGCAAAAUAAGAAACCUUAUUUGAGUAAAACAGUAGCAGAUACAUCACUUUGAGAUCACAGAAUGAAAGAAACAUGAAAUGUUAUGGCGAAGACAGCACAGCAAGAAACAAUAGUCUCGCAAAUACUCACAAAUCAGGUGCCUGGUGCACUGAACCUAUCAACUGUGCAAGAUUUGUGCUUUGGUCCUCUUUUGAAGAUGUGAAGCAACGUCGAGUCUGAAAUUGGAAUUACUGAUAGACUGGAGGAAAUCUUAGUCCUUGUGAUACACAUGGACAUGCUGAAUUCUAAGUAAUUCUAGCUUCUUUUCCCCUCCCCUCCCCUUCCCUUAUUCAGCUAUCUCAGGGUUAACAGAGAUUUCAAUGGUUUGUGUGCCUGUAAGUU